AACGGGGGGGGCAAGUGUUCUUCGGAAUCACUGGGCUUAAAGGGUGCGUAGGCGGCCAUGUAAGUGAGGUGUGAAAUCCCUCGGCUCAACCGAGGAACUACGCUUCAUACUGCAUGGCUUGAGGGAGACAGGGGUAAGCGGAACUGAUGGUGGAGCGGUGAAAUGCGUUGAUAUCAUCAGGAACACCGGUGGCGAAAGCGGCUUACUGGGUCUCUUCUGACGCUGAGGUACGAAAGCUAGGGGAGCGAACGGG
RNAcentral lists this ribosomal RNA (253 nucleotides) under uncultured bacterium. RNAcentral describes it as "partial 16S ribosomal RNA". It matches the Rfam family "Bacterial small subunit ribosomal RNA", at positions 524 to 776 of the family's 1533-position model. The record is from RNAcentral.